GGGUGUACUAAGGCCAGGGAGCCUAAAAGUGAAACCCACUCAAAGCAAAGGGAAACUGAUUAGUCUACCUGCCUGUUGUGUAAACAGCACAAAUGGUGACAGUAAACUUUGUUUGUAACAUUCCUUCCAUUUUGAUCUUCUGAAUGUUGAUUUGUAAGAGGGAUAAAAAUGUGUUUUCAAACACUUUUUACCCUUUAAGCAUGUUACUAGUGGAUUCUAAUGUGAUCCAGCAGCCACAGAGCAAAUAUAUUGGCAGCCAGCUACCAGGAGUUUCAGAAGACAUCCAAAAGAACUCACCCUGCUUCCUUGUGUGACCUCGAAACCAAGCUGCUGCUUCUGAGAAGGAACCUGAAGCGAGACUUGAGGGGCAAGAUGACACCCCCCCAUCAUGAGCGCCACAGGAGUGAGGGGGGGGGAAAGGGUAGGAGGAGGAAAGAACUGUAAACACUAAAUGGGAAUGUUCCAUCAAAUUUGCUGACAACUGAGAGCCAAACCAGAACAAUGAAUUCUCCCUUUUAAAUGCCUCUGCUGCGACCAUUCUGUUCAGAUACCUGUAGGAAGCUCAUCAGUGAGUAGUACAUCCACGGAACUCUGUUCCCAUCUAGGAGAGCUUAGAAGAACACUGCACAGGUGGUAGUCACACGACCCACUCUCAAAGUGCCUCAGUAGCAAUUUUCCUCUAUAGGAAAUUUAAAAUAUACACUUCAGCCUUUACUGUAUAAGGUACAUUUUUUACUCUGUACGUUUAGACUAUUUAUUUAUUUCCUGUUCCCAUAGAUUAGAGAUUUCGGUGCUUCCCUUACUUCACCUUCCUUCCGUAUCCAGCUUAGAGGUGAACGGAUAUUUAGCGCUGCCUACACAGACGCCUGGAGUCAUGGGGAUCAGCUGGGGAGGGGUGAGGGCAGUUCCUGCUGCACUAAUAUUGAACACUAUUAACCUAUGCUGCUGCUUUUUGGGAAUCAGAAAAGCACCAAAGUUCACAGGUGCAUGGACAAACCAUCUGUAGGCUCAGCAGCACCACACAAACAUGGGCACUAUUUGGCGUUGUAGGGUUUUAAGUUACUGUUGGAAGAAGGGCAGAAGAGGCUUUCUGUGUGUUUUGACAGUUGACAAAAUUCAGACUAAUUUCUUCCAGCUUCCAUACAGCUCCAAGGUAUUUCUUUCUGGAAAAGUUUCACACGCUCUCUCUUCAGAGAGAUUUUUCAUGGUAAAAAUUGUUUGAUAAACUAUAAGCUUGUUGUAAUAAAGAACACACAACUCUCAGCUAAA
Molecule: non-coding RNA, 1269 nt
Organism: Chrysemys picta bellii (western painted turtle)
Lineage: Eukaryota; Metazoa; Chordata; Testudines; Emydidae
Source: RefSeq, a predicted model, not a curated record